RNAcentral lists this ribosomal RNA (468 nucleotides) under uncultured bacterium. RNAcentral describes it as "partial 16S ribosomal RNA". It matches the Rfam family "Bacterial small subunit ribosomal RNA", at positions 28 to 507 of the family's 1533-position model. The record is from RNAcentral.
GACGAACGCUGGCGGCGUGCUUAACACAUGCAAGCCGAACGGAAAGGCCCUGCUUUUGUGGGGUGCUCGAGUGGCGCACGUGUGAGUCACACGAGAGUAACCUGCCUUUGAUGUUGGGAUAACGUCAGGAAACUUGGGCUAAUACCGGUAAGGAGCUCCUGCUGCAUGGUGUGGGGUGGAAAGUUUCGGCGGUUGGGGAUGUACUCGCGGCUUAUCUGCUUGGUGGUGGGGUAGUGGCUUACCAAGGCUUUGACGGGUAGCCGGCCUGAGAGGUUGACCGGCCACAUUGGGACUGAGAUACGGCCCAGACUCCUACGGGAGGCAGCAGUGGGGAAUAUUGCACAAUGGGCGGAAGCCUGAUGCAGCAACGCCGCGUGCGGGAUGACGGCCUUCGGGUUGUAAACCGCUUUCGCCUGUGACGAAGCGUGAGUGACGGUAAUGGGUAAAGAAGCACCGGCUAACUACGUG